AGUGAACGCUGGCGGUAGGCCUAACACAUGCAAGUCGAACGGCAGCACAGUAAGAGCUUGCUCUUACGGGUGGCGAGUGGCGGACGGGUGGGGAAUACAUCGGAAUCUACUUUUUCGUGGGGGAUAACGUAGGGAAACUUACGCUAAUACCGCAUACGACCUACGGGUGAAAGCAGGGGAUCUUCGGACCUUGCGCGAUUGAAUGAGCCGAUGUCGGAUUAGCUAGUUGGCGGGGUAAAGGCCCACCAAGGCGACGAUCCGUAGCUGGUCUGAGAGGAUGAUCAGCCACACUGGAACUGAGACACGGUCCAGACUCCUACGGGAGGCAGCAGUGGGGAAUAUUGGACAAUGGGCGCAAGCCUGAUCCAGCCAUACCGCGUGGGUGAAGAAGGCCUUCGGGUUGUAAAGCCCUUUUGUUGGCAAAGAAAAGCAGCAGGUUAAUACCCCGCUGUUCUGACGGUACCCAAAGAAUAAGCACCGGCUAACUUCGUG
Molecule: ribosomal RNA, 492 nt
Filed under: uncultured bacterium
Lineage: Bacteria
Description: partial 16S ribosomal RNA
Rfam family: Bacterial small subunit ribosomal RNA
Source: RNAcentral